GGACGCCGAAGGUGGGGCUAAUGACUGGGGUGAAGUCGUAACAAGGUAGCCGUACCGGAAGGUGCGGCUGGAUCACCUCCUAACAGGGAGACAACAAAAUGUUUAAAAUUAUUAUUUUGUCACCUUAGGUCGAUCGGUAUCUCACAUUCUUAAUUUAUUAAGGAUUUUAUUUCCUAAGUUUUUCUAGGUCACACCCAUUUUUUUCCUGGGCCAUUAGCUCAGGUGGUUAGAGCGCACCCCUGAUAAGGGUGAGGUCCCUGGUUCAAGUCCAGGAUGGCCCAUCUCUCUAUGUUGGGGGUAUAGCUCAGUUGGUAGAGCGCCUGCUUUGCAAGCAGGAUGUCAGCGGUUCGAGUCCGCUUACCUCCACUGAUUACCACCUCUUCCAUAAUUUUUAGAUAAGGAAAUUAUUUGAGUUGUGAUCAAAUUCUGAACGAUUCUAGCUUCCUAAUGAAAUCAUUAAGAUGCUGGACUCAUUGAAUUAAUUUCAUUGUUUUCAGAGAACCUUGACAACUGCAUAGAUUUUUUUUAAAGACAAUAAGCAUCUUUUAUGAUGCAGAUUUAUUAUUUGUGCGAAUGCAUUAAUAACAAUUCUAUUAAGCUGAUGCUUCAAUUUUGAAGUUAUUGGUCAAGCUACAAAGGGCUCAUGGAGGAUA
RNAcentral lists this unclassified non-coding RNA (653 nucleotides) under uncultured Prochlorococcus sp. RNAcentral describes it as "partial may contain 16S ribosomal RNA, 16S-23S ribosomal RNA intergenic spacer, and 23S ribosomal RNA". The stretch from base 294 to 366 matches the Rfam family "tRNA". The record is from RNAcentral. Lineage: Bacteria; Bacillati; Cyanobacteriota; Cyanophyceae; Synechococcales; Prochlorococcaceae.